AGGACCACGUUAGCUGUAAGGUGGAGGCUGAGGACUCUGCGUUUCCUCCGAUUCACAAGUUUCUGUAACGUGACGGAGGUGUCCAGGCACACCUUUUCUGCGUGGCGGUGCCACUGGUGUGUGUGGCAUUGAUGAGUUGUCAGGUGAUUCUAAAUGUCCUAUGACUGUGUCUCCACGUUCACAUGUUGUUCAUACUACUGCUGUUGUUGUUGUUGGUAACCGUUGGUUACUUAAUACCCCUGCUAGAGAAGCUGAUGUUUUCUAUGAGCGUCAUGGUGUGUGCUUCCCUCUCAAACCCUAUGGGUAACAGUUAGGGAUGCACCGAUACCGAUACUGGUAUCGGUACCGAUAUGAUGCCAAUACCAGUAUCGGUAUCGGUAAAAGUUAACCGAUACCAGGAACCAAUACCAAUGCAGUUGCUUGAAAAUGGCUUCACUGUAACUUGUCAUUUCUGUUCACCUAAUAUUUUAGUUUUGUGAUGAUUUCCAUUCAUAUAUUUUACUUUUUAUCUACCUCACAAUCUUUUCCUGUUGAAAGCAGAGAAGAAAAUAAAAUCUGUAUUCCAAAUCAUUGCCUUUUUUUGUAUGGUAGAAGUAUCGGUAAUCGGUAUCGGCGAGUACUCAGAUCCAAGUAUCGGUAUCGUAUCGGUUUGGAAAAAAGUGGUAUUGUUGCAUCCCUCGUAACAGUUCCACGUGGUGCUACGGUCCGUGUAGGUGAGGGCUCUCUUUAUUACUUGGAUCCUGGUGAGCAUAGGUCUUAUGAUAACAUCUCCUUUGCUCUUUCUCCAGCUACAGUGGAUAGUGUUACAUCGAUGGUCCAACCAUGGUUCGGGUUGGUGUGGAGAACAGGGUGCUGCAUGAGUUGUCGGCAGAUCCCGGUCUCAGGUUUCAACCAGUGUCUUACUCCUGGUCCUCCGCUGAUUCUGUCGUGAUAUUCACUGCAUGCCUAAACCUCUGCCUGUCGUGGGGUUUGUCAUUUUUCCUGUUCCGUCACUUCUCCGCACGGUUGACCUUUCUAGGGGACUCGGUCCGCGAUGUCUGGGGGCGCCAAACUCGGGCCAUCGCACCGGUUCGUGAAGCACCGGCUGCCCAGGUGCCUCCGCCUGAGCCGGCUGGUCCUGCUCCUUCACCUGCACCUCCUGCGCCUUCAGCUAGAACUUUGAAGACUUUGUUGAUUGGAGAUGAACAUGCUGUGGGUUCCUGACGUCAGGUAAUCAGUUAGUUAACAGUAGAUGGGUUUAGUCCACAUAUUACUGUAAUCCUAAUUUGUUUUUAUUUUCACUACUCUUAAUUCCUCAUGGGUACAUUCACAUGUAGGUUGAUUACUAACCACCGAUUUACAUUUUUAGUGCUCUUUGACACUCAUAUAUCUAUUUUUUAUAGAAUUUUACUACAGUGAUUAAGUUUUGAAAACUUUAUGAUUAACUUUGCUAAUUUACCAUUAUGGGCUACAACCAUUUUUGCCCUUCAUUUUGAUUACAUUUUUACUUAGUGCAGUGAUUUCUCCCAUACGCAGUAUAGGGUUUUACUUCUUUAUUCUUUUCGCACCACUUUUUCCAGUACACGUAGUGUAUCGCACCCAUUUCUUCGCUUAAUGCUAAUUCACAUAAUUGCUGCACAUAGUACAUGCAGGUACUCACAGUGAUACGUUUCUUUUUGCUUGUUAAUUUGCAUUAGACGCCAUUUUGUUGUGUCUACAUUGAAGUGCCCUGUGCUGUGCUCUCUCUCCUCUGCUGAGUUUCGUCGAUGAUCGUGCUUCCUGGGGGUGGACCUAUGACUCGCCAUUGGAUUCUACUCCUCCUGCUUGGUGUUCCGGCUCGUAGGACCUGGACGUCCGUUUGUCCUGGCAUGACUGCUGGGAUACUUCGCUCGCUGGGACCUGACCUACCUGCUGCUCUUUCCUGUACUGGAUCACGAUAAGUGCUAUUACAAAGAUCAAUAUGUUAUUUUGGAAGUAUUCCCGACCUGUGGAAAUAUAAAGUUUUGCUCCUGCUUCAAAAUAUUACUUCCAAGGGGAUAUCUUGAUAAUCUGCUGACUUGUGUGCUUCCCGAGGAGUAUGCAAGACUGUUCUUCAGAGUGGGGUUCGUAUCUCACCGCUUUUGGCCUCUUCCUGGGGAAUUGCACCCUGCUCUAUCGUCGGAGUCCUUUAAGACUCUGGUUUGUUCAAUGACAGGUGGUCUCUGGACGGACCACCGUGCCCUUGAAAAGGGGGGUAUGUAACGUGACGGAGGUGCCAUUCCACCGAAGGUUAUUUACCCCCCUCUCUCCACAGAUGCCUCUGACACAGUACUAAGCUGCAUGAGACUGUCUCAAGGUCAUGCAUUCGCUUCUAAACUGCUUCCUUUCCAGCUCAAGAGAAGAAUGAAGACAAAGGACUCUUUCCUUUUAAUAAAUCAAAGAACUCUAUUUUUAAUAAAGCUAAUCAAACAAGGUGUUAGUCAAUAAUAUAAUGUUGACCAGUCUAUGAAAUGACAAUGUUAGGAUUAGUAUGCUUUAAUAAGUAAUAUGACUUUAAUCUAGCUGCACUAGACACUCUGAUGACAUGUAAUGUAAACGCACGACACAUUGUUUACUCAUCCAAUCAGAACCUUCCUUUCUGAAGCGUGGCAUAGUCUCUGUGGUGUUUAAAAAUCUGCCAACUUUGAUUUGACCAGAAAUCAGAACAUCCAGAUUAAUAAAACCAGUUCCCACUCCAUCUUAGUUCAGUUCUCUGAGUUCUCUACAGUUCACUGAAGUUCACCGCAUGCUAAGUAAAGUAUCGGACCGGCCACCCGGACUUCCUUUUUAAGCAAAGAACCAACAAGCUCAAUAAAAUCUGUUGCAUUUUACCAACCAAGCAACGGUUCCUUUCAGAAUAAUAGCUGACCUCACUGACCCUCCGGGUCCAUCUGACGCUGUCAACCAACUGUCGCUUUUUACCUGGAGACAAUCCAAAGACUAGUCUGUCGUACUGCUGACACUGUUUCACCGGCUCCGGUACCGAAAGGGGGGUCCGAGGACCUGGCAGUCUGGAUCUGUAAGGAGGUCUCAUCCUAAUGGUAUGUGUAGAGCGACAAUAUGGCGUCUCGUGUUUAUGAAACUCCGAUCAAACUCUGAUCAUAGCUAAAAGCAAAACAUCACAACAUCAUUCAGACUUGCUUCUCCGGAUACGAGAGUUUGGAUUACAUCACUCACACAUACACCAUUCAUCUCACGUCUCAUUCACACCAGAUCCAUUCAUCACUUAGAGUUAGUCUUGUUUAAAAUUCUUUAAAAUUGUUUAGAAAUAAAUCUUCUUAAACGUUUUAAAGGUGACUCUCUCGUCUCUCACUUAAUACAAGUGUUACAUAAUCCCUGCAAUCAAAAGUUCCAAUCUUCUGGUUAAAAUAACCCAACUGUCCGUAAGGUUGAUUUCAUAUUUACUAUGGAAUCUUACGUCUUACGGGUCCUUAAUUAGAAGUAAAUUAACUCUUUUACAUUUCUUUCCCCUUGCCAUGGCAACAAGGGCUGCAUUCCAAGUACAGGGAGCUCUGCUGGUCGUUUUACCAGCAUGCACAGCUACAGAAGUGGAAUGCAGCCCUCACUGAUACACCUGUACCUUCUCUAAUCUGUCAAAUAAAGAUGAAGUGUCCUGGCUCACUCUGCUGGCCCGACUCCUCCGUUAGUGUGAGCUCAAGCACCAGUUAGUUAUUUAUUUACAAACAAGCGAUCAGAGUUGUGAUGUCCUGAAUAGUCUCCUUAAAAGGCUGGAUCCAAACUGCCAGAUAAGAGUUAAAAAGAUCAACAUGUGUGGUGUUGUGCAUCGUUUAUGGUUCUGGUUUUUCCUCUGGGAGUUCCUCAGAAAUAAACAGAGCCGCUUGUGUUGUUGGAGAUAAAAAAAUCAGCGAGACAGUAGUUACACAGCUACUGGCUCCUUAUCCUUUAAAAGGAAGUGAGAAAGAAGAAAGCUGCCUUCAGAGCAGCACUAAAACCCGUUAAAUCACUGAGAAAUUUACAUUUCAAAAUAAAUAACAAACGGCCUCCUCAGACCAGAGAGGGCAGAAGGGUAGCGGUGCAGACUGGAACCAAGGUGUGGAUCUAUCAGCACGGGAGAGAAGAGACUCGCUUUUGUUUGUUUACCAACAAAGUUCAACUAAACUAACGACGAUCAUCACCGUUCGUCCAGCUUGCUUCUAACAGAUCUGGUUCCAAUCAGCUGUCAGUUCCUAAAAGCUCAGUCACAGUUUUAAGAAAACAACGAGUACAAUUAAACCACGCGUAUCCUGUUAGCCUCAGAUUAAAGGGAUCAUAAAAGCCGCUGUUUGGAAAAUGGGAAAUGUCCAUCCCCAUGAGAACCGUGGAGUAGACUGCUACCGCCGCGCUGUUUCAAGGCAGCAGGAAUCCACAGUCACUAUCUGUUAGCUUAUCGAUCUGGUCACACUUGUCUUCCAUUUAUCACCAAUAAGAACAAAUCUGUAACCUGUCCAACAUUUAGGAGAUAAAGCAGCACGCUCACCUCUGUAACUCCUGUCCCACGUACUCCGACUUGUCCUCCGAGAGCACCUCGAACAUGUCAUCCUCCUCCAGCCUGCGUUUGUAGCCCGUUCUAAAGAGAGGAUUCAGCCACCUGA
Molecule: non-coding RNA, 4589 nt
Organism: Nothobranchius furzeri (turquoise killifish)
Lineage: Eukaryota; Metazoa; Chordata; Actinopteri; Cyprinodontiformes; Nothobranchiidae
Source: RefSeq, a predicted model, not a curated record